Molecule: ribosomal RNA, 485 nt
Filed under: Burkholderia multivorans
Lineage: Bacteria; Pseudomonadati; Pseudomonadota; Betaproteobacteria; Burkholderiales; Burkholderiaceae
Description: bacterial SSU rRNA
Rfam family: Bacterial small subunit ribosomal RNA
Source: RNAcentral
GCCUUACACAUGCAAGUCGAACGGCAGCACGGGUGCUUGCACCUGGUGGCGAGUGGCGAACGGGUGAGUAAUACAUCGGAACAUGUCCUGUAGUGGGGGAUAGCCCGGCGAAAGCCGGAUUAAUACCGCAUACGAUCCACGGAUGAAAGCGGGGGACCUUCGGGCCUCGCGCUAUAGGGUUGGCCGAUGGCUGAUUAGCUAGUUGGUGGGGUAAAGGCCUACCAAGGCGACGAUCAGUAGCUGGUCUGAGAGGACGACCAGCCACACUGGGACUGAGACACGGCCCAGACUCCUACGGGAGGCAGCAGUGGGGAAUUUUGGACAAUGGGCGAAAGCCUGAUCCAGCAAUGCCGCGUGUGUGAAGAAGGCCUUCGGGUUGUAAAGCACUUUUGUCCGGAAAGAAAUCCCUGGCUCUAAUACAGUCGGGGGAUGACGGUACCGGAAGAAUAAGCACCGGCUAACUACGUGCCAGCAGCCGCGGGUAA